GGCGCUUCUGCGCGACCUGGUCGGGCGUGGCGUUCUCCGGCAGCGCCAGCAGGAUCUGCGCGGCGUUGUAUUCGGUGGCGGCGCCG
Molecule: transfer RNA, 86 nt
Filed under: Sphaerotilus natans
Lineage: Bacteria; Pseudomonadati; Pseudomonadota; Betaproteobacteria; Burkholderiales; Sphaerotilaceae
Also listed under: 2 other names
Description: tRNA-Arg
Source: RNAcentral